Long non-coding RNA from Daphnia pulicaria, 617 nucleotides. RefSeq lists it as uncharacterized. Lineage: Eukaryota; Metazoa; Arthropoda; Branchiopoda; Diplostraca; Daphniidae. The transcript has 4 exons. The record is from RefSeq and is a predicted model, not a curated record.
CUAGAAUUUAUAGUUUGAUUUUUGAAAGUUAUAAGACUUUUUGAUUGAAAGUUUGUAUCUUGAACUGUAUUUAUUGUGCUACUGAAAGACUAGAGAGAUUCAAAUGGCCCCAGAUAUAAAAGAAAAAGCGUGGUCGACAUUAUAAGUAGAAAAUUUAGUGGAUGAGUAUAUAGCUUGAAAGGGUGUUAUUCUUGGUGCCUCCUUGAAGCCAGGUAUUACCAAAUAACACAAAAAACAUGCUUGGACACAAAUUGUAGAAGCCUUAGCACAAGCAUGCCCCGAUGAACCAAAUCAUGAUGUGAAGGAGACAAAGAAGAAAUUUUGUCCCCUAAAAGAUAUUUUCAUGGAGAUGGGGCCUAGCAAUGCUUAUGUGAGUGCCAUCGACACUCCCUACUACACCUCUAAGAUUUGCUAAUUGUCAACAAUACUAAUUACCUCUGAUUGUCCGGAAAGAAUAUGUGAUCGGAAGCUAUGUCACACAAAGCUUUAGAAACAUCUCUCACACAUCUUGACACCGAUGACUGACUUAUCUUCAACACAUUUCCCACAGUUGAUUGGAAUGUUCCAUUGGCAUAAAAUUGAAGCGAUAAUAGUAUUUGUUCAAUAGGUAACAAACA